This 294-nucleotide unclassified non-coding RNA is filed under the name Hevea brasiliensis (rubber tree). The record is from RNAcentral. Lineage: Eukaryota; Viridiplantae; Streptophyta; Magnoliopsida; Malpighiales; Euphorbiaceae.
GAAAAUUUGAGCGGUACGUUCACACAGGUGAUUUUCGUUAUUGUGAUGACAUGAAAUUAGAGCCUGUAUUGAAUGCAUUUGUGGGUGCUGAUGCUGUAUUUUUGGAUACAACUUAUUGUCAUCCGAAAUUUAUAUUCCCUAGUCAACAGGAGUCAAUUGAUUAUAUAGUUGGAGUUAUAGAGAAAAGUGGAGUUGAGAAUGAGGGUUCAUUGAAAAAUAUCUUGUUUCUUAUUGCUACUUAUGUCAUUGGGAAAGAGAAGAUUUUAAUGGAGGUUUCACGGAGGUGUCAGAGAA